AGGACGAACGCUGGCGGCGUGCUUAACACAUGCAAGUCGAGCGAGGCUCCUCCUUCGGGAGGAAGCCCUAGCGGCGAACGGGUGAGUAACACGUGGGCAACCUGCCCCUAGCACUGGGAUAACCCCGGGAAACCGGGGCUAAUACCGGAUACGACUUCGGAAGGCAUCUUCUGAAGUGGAAAAGGUUACUGGCUAGGGAUGGGCCCGCGGCCUAUCAGCUUGUUGGUGGGGUAAUGGCCCACCAAGGCGACGACGGGUAGCCGGCCUGAGAGGGCGACCGGCCACACUGGGACUGAGACACGGCCCAGACUCCUACGGGAGGCAGCAGUGGGGAAUAUUGCACAAUGGGCGAAAGCCUGAUGCAGCGACGCCGCGUGAGGGAUGACGGCCUUCGGGUUGUAAACCUCUUUCAGCAGGGACGAAGCGAAAGUGACGGUACCUGCAGAAGAAGCACCGGCCAACUACGUGCCAGCAGCCGC
RNAcentral lists this ribosomal RNA (479 nucleotides) under uncultured bacterium. RNAcentral describes it as "SSU rRNA". It matches the Rfam family "Bacterial small subunit ribosomal RNA", at positions 26 to 518 of the family's 1533-position model. The record is from RNAcentral.